CUCUGGUAAGUCUAGUGGCUAGAAUUCCUGGUUUUAAACCAGGCUGUCCAGGUUCAAUUCAUGAGCAGAGA
Molecule: transfer RNA, 71 nt
Organism: Sus scrofa (pig)
Lineage: Eukaryota; Metazoa; Chordata; Mammalia; Artiodactyla; Suidae
Rfam family: tRNA
About the family: Transfer RNA (tRNA) molecules are approximately 80 nucleotides in length.
Source: Rfam